Molecule: small nuclear RNA, 21 nt
Filed under: Arabidopsis thaliana (thale cress)
Lineage: Eukaryota; Viridiplantae; Streptophyta; Magnoliopsida; Brassicales; Brassicaceae
Description: snRNA_15727
Source: RNAcentral
AAUCUAAUCUUUGGAUGCUGA